Molecule: long non-coding RNA, 1228 nt
Organism: Onychostruthus taczanowskii (white-rumped snowfinch)
Lineage: Eukaryota; Metazoa; Chordata; Aves; Passeriformes; Passeridae
Exons: 3
Source: RefSeq, a predicted model, not a curated record
CAUGGCGGUACCUAAAAGCAAAUGGCAUCAUCUUCAUCAACUUCAUGGCAUCUGAUGAAAUUAUUGCCACAUCCCUCUAUACAAAACUGGCUGCAACACCCUCACAGAGAGCUGGAUCUCCCCAGUGAUCUAAUGCUGUCAAGCAAUUCGAAGGAAUCACUUGCAAUUCCCAACACAGCCUUGGCCACGAGCGCUCCUUAAAGAAAUGGACACAGAAUUCCUCCCAGAGGCUGAGUUUCACAUAUUGCUCGAGCCAAAGAGAAGCUCCAGCCUCCUUGGAAAGGGCCUUUUGGAACCAUCAUUUCUGCUGGAGAGCACUUAAAUCCAGGGAGCAGAGGACUGUGCUAGCAAAGCAGGAAUCGAUGCCACGUGCCAUGAAAUACACUGAAAUUCCAGCGCGCAUCCCAUGCUCCCGCAAAGCCCACUCCAAACUAUGCCACAGGAGCCACGCUGGACAUCAGGGAGAAUUCCUUCCCCAAAAGGGCUGCCCAGGCCUGGCACAGAAGCCCCGAGCCCCUCCGGACGAGGCCAUUCCAUGCUGGAUGUGCAGCGCCUCCCACAACAGGAACAUCACCUGUGAAGGGAUUUACUGGGUGGCAAAUCAAACCACAACAUGAUUAUCAACUACUCCCCACUGCUUCCAAGGGAAGAUUCCAGGGGAAUUCUUGAUCCUUAACCGCAGCACUGGAUUUUGUUUCAUUCAUAAUAAUUUCCCUGACAGUGUUUAAAACCCCUCCAGUGCAUGGGAAGAGAGGAAGAAUUAUAUAAAUUAAUACAUGUUACACCCUUAGACGCAGAUCAAACUUCUCCCACAGCUCCCAAAAUGUGCUCUCAACCCCUGCUUAAGAGAUUAAAGUAUCCCAGACUUUUCCAUCAUCUCGAAAUGCAGAUUUAAGCAGGGAUUAAAGUCACUUGGUGGAGCACACCUCCUUCACAUGGGUGCCUGCGGCUGAGAAAUCCCAUUUCACAGAAUCAUGGAAUAUUCUGACAUGGAAAGGGACCCUCAACAAGGAUUAUCAAAGUCCAACUCCAGCUUAGGAAUUCAACUCCUGAGAAUUUCCACACACCUCUCCCCCCAGCCACACUCUGAGGUACUGCCCAGACACGGUGCUGGACCCUUCCUCCAAACAGUGAUGGCAAAGGACUGGGAGAAAAGGGCUGGAGAGCUGAUCCCAGCACCCGCCACCUUCCCCCAGCCUGAGGAUACGCCGGGCACUGAUUCCUCUGC